RNAcentral lists this ribosomal RNA (468 nucleotides) under uncultured bacterium. Its description in RNAcentral is "partial 16S ribosomal RNA". It matches the Rfam family "Bacterial small subunit ribosomal RNA", at positions 28 to 507 of the family's 1533-position model. The record is from RNAcentral.
GACGAACGCUGGCGGCGUGCUUAACACAUGCAAGUCGAACGGAAAGGCCCUGCUUUUGUGGGGUGCUCGAGUGGCGAACGGGUGAGUAACACGUGAGUAACCUGCCCUUGACUUUGGGAUAACUUCAGGAAACUGGGGCUAAUACCGGAUAGGAGCUCCUGCUGCAUGGUGGGGGUUGGAAAGUUUCGGCGGUUGGGGAUGGACUCGCGGCUUAUCAGCUUGUUGGUGGGGUAGUGGCUUACCAAGGCUUUGACGGGUAGCCGGCCUGAGAGGGUGACCGGCCACAAUGGUACUGAGGGAGGGCCCAGACUCCUACGGGAGGCAGCAGUGGGAAAUAUUGCACAAUGGGCGGGAGCCUGAUGCAGCAACGCCGCGUGCGGGAUGACGGCCUUCGGGUUGUAAACCGCUUUCGCCUGUGACGAAGCGUGAGUGACGGUAAUGGGUAAAGAAGCACCGGCUAACUACGUG